Molecule: small nucleolar RNA, 138 nt
Organism: Tachyglossus aculeatus (Australian echidna)
Lineage: Eukaryota; Metazoa; Chordata; Mammalia; Monotremata; Tachyglossidae
Source: RefSeq, a predicted model, not a curated record
AACCUCUCAGGGUCGCACCUGGAGAGUUUCCAGUCUUCUACCAGUCUUGACUACAGGAGGAAGAGUCAAGCAGAGGCGUAUCUGUUCCAUUCCUAGGUUGGCCAGUGGCUAGUGAGUGGAAGGCAAUCUGCAACAAGU